Cololabis saira (Pacific saury) is the source of this 1018-nucleotide long non-coding RNA. RefSeq lists it as uncharacterized. NCBI's taxonomy places the organism in Eukaryota, Metazoa, Chordata, Actinopteri, Beloniformes, Belonidae. The transcript is spliced from 4 exons. The record is from RefSeq and is a predicted model, not a curated record.
CCUCGAAAUAAUUAUUUCGUUCCCUCGAUUUAGGAUAUCGAGCGAACGAAUUAAGUAUUUCGUUCCCUCGAAAUAAUCAUAUUAGAAAUCGAAAUACAAUUUCGUGAUUAAAGUCUAAAUCUCUGGCCCAUCAAAGCCAGUGAGGAGAGACGGACAUGCAGCUGUUUUAUAAUAGAUCCAUGCAGCUGCAGCAGCAGCAGCAGCAGCAGCACCGGGACCAGCUACAACAUCUUGGAGUGGAAGGGGCCGUCUAUGUGCUGGAGUUAACAGUGGCUGCAACGCUCUGACAUCCACGUUGACAUUAUACAGCAAUCUUACACAACCACACAGAUUCUUUUGCCGGAGUCCGAAGUUUCAUCUAUGGACGCAGCACCACAAACCAGCGGAUUGAAUCGUGGUGGGGGAUCCUGAGGAAACAAAGUGCACAGUUUUGGAUCAACGUUUUCCAAACCCUCUAAGAUGACGGCUACUUCUCUGGUGAUUUCUUGGAUAGGAGCCUGAUCCAAUUCUGCUUCCUAAACCUUGUUCAGGAUGAACUUGACGAAGUCGUGAGAACCUGGAAUUCACACAAGAUAAGAGCAAAGGCAGCUGAUGGUGUGAUUGGAGGUCGGCGGAUUUUGAUGUACACACUUCCAGGCAUGUUCGGCGCAGAGGACAAUCUCAAGCCCAUACACAUGAAUGAAUUGGCCCUUUGUAGGGAGGAGUGCACCCCCAAAAGCCAAUAUACAUGUGAUGAAACUGUAUUUGAUCUCUGCUGUCUUCUGAUGCAGGAAAGGGGAUGGGAUCCUCCUACAGAUGCAUUUUCCGCUGCUGAACUGUACACCUUAUUAAGAACUGAAAUACUGCAAAGUGUCUGAGGGUGGACAAUUCUCUCUGCACAAAGAAGAAUCAUUUGUACUGUACAAUACAGGACUGUCUCAGAAAAUUAGAAUAUUGUGAUAAAGUCCUUUUAUUUUCUGUAAUGCAAAAAUGUCAUACAUUCUGGAUUCAUUACAAAUCAACUGAAAUAUUGCAAGCC